RNAcentral lists this ribosomal RNA (939 nucleotides) under uncultured eubacterium SRang51. RNAcentral describes it as "SSU rRNA". It matches the Rfam family "Bacterial small subunit ribosomal RNA", at positions 524 to 1469 of the family's 1533-position model. The record is from RNAcentral.
UACGGAGGGUGCAAGCGUUACUCGGAAUCACUGGGCGUAAAGCGCGCGCAGGCGGCUAUUUAAGUUGGAUGUGAAAGCCUACGGCUCAACCGUAGAACUGCAUCCAAAACUAUUUAGCUAGAGUGUGGGAGAGGAAGAUGGAAUUAGUUGUGUAGGGGUAAAAUCCGUAGAGAUAACUAGGAAUACCAAAAGCGAAGGCAAUCUUCUGGAACACUACUGACGCUGAGGCGCGAAAGCGUGGGGAGCAAACAGGAUUAGAUACCCUGGUAGUCCACGCAGUAAACGAUGAAUGUUAGUCGUCGGGGGCCUCGUGUCUUCGGUGAUGCAGCUAACGCAUUAAACAUUCCGCCUGGGGAGUACGGUCGCAAGAUUAAAACUCAAAGGAAUAGACGGGGACCCGCACAAGUGGUGGAGCAUGUGGUUUAAUUCGAAGAUACGCGAAGAACCUUACCUAGCCUUGACAUAUUUGAGAAUCUUUUAGAGAUAAGAGAGUGCCCUUCGGGAAUUCAUAUACAGGUGCUGCACGGCUGUCGUCAGCUCGUGUCGUGAGAUGUUGGGUUAAGUCCCGCAACGAGCGCAACCCUCGUCACUAGUUACUAACGGUUCGGCCGAGGACUCUAGUGAGACUGCCUUCGCAAGGAGGAGGAAGGUGAGGACGACGUCAAGUCAUCAUGGCCCUUACGGUCAGGGCAACACACGUGCUACAAUGGCCAGGACAGUGAGAAGCGAUACCGCGAGGUGGAGCAAAUCUAUAAACCUGGUCUCAGUUCGGAUUGUAGUCUGCAACUCGACUACAUGAAGCUGGAAUCACUAGUAAUCGUAGAUCAGCUAUGCUACGGUGAAUACGUUCCCGGGUCUUGUACUCACCGCCCGUCACACCAUGGGAGUUGAUCUCACCCGAAGCGGGGAAGCUAAACUGGCUACCCUCCACGGUGAAUC